GGGCGAUUAGCUCAGUUGGCUAGAGCGCGAGCUCGACACGCUCGAGGUCACAGGUUCGACCCCUGUAUCGCCCA
This 74-nucleotide transfer RNA is filed under the name Chlamydiota bacterium. RNAcentral describes it as "Chlamydiae bacterium (groundwater metagenome) tRNA-Val". It matches the Rfam family "tRNA". From Rfam's summary of the family: Transfer RNA (tRNA) molecules are approximately 80 nucleotides in length. Lineage: Bacteria; Pseudomonadati; Chlamydiota. The record is from RNAcentral.